Molecule: ribosomal RNA, 476 nt
Filed under: Salmonella enterica
Lineage: Bacteria; Pseudomonadati; Pseudomonadota; Gammaproteobacteria; Enterobacterales; Enterobacteriaceae
Also listed under: 1 other name
Description: bacterial SSU rRNA
Rfam family: Bacterial small subunit ribosomal RNA
Source: RNAcentral
AAAUUGAAGAGUUUGAUCAUGGCUCAGAUUGAACGCUGGCGGCAGGCCUAACACAUGCAAGUCGAACGGUAACAGGAAGCAGCUUGCUGCUUCGCUGACGAGUGGCGGACGGGUGAGUAAUGUCUGGGAAACUGCCUGAUGGAGGGGGAUAACUACUGGAAACGGUGGCUAAUACCGCAUAACGUCGCAGGACCAAAGAGGGGGACCUUCGGGCCUCUUGCCAUCAGAUGUGCCCAGAUGGGAUUAGCUUGUUGGUGAGGUAACGGCUCACCAAGGCGACGAUCCCUAGCUGGUCUGAGAGGAUGACCAGCCACACUGGAACUGAGACACGGUCCAGACUCCUACGGGAGGCAGCAGUGGGGAAUAUUGCACAAUGGGCGCAAGCCUGAUGCAGCCAUGCCGCGUGUAUGAAGAAGGCCUUCGGGUUGUAAAGUACUUUCAGCGGGGAGGAAGGGGAUAAGGCUAAUAACCUUGUU